GAUGAACGCUGGCGGCGUGCCUAAUACAUGCAAGUCGAGCGAACAGACGAGGAGCUUGCUCCUCUGACGUUAGCGGCGGACGGGUGAGUAACACGUGGAUAACCUACCUAUAAGACUGGGAUAACUUCGGGAAACCGGAGCUAAUACCGGAUAAUAUAUUGAACCGCAUGGUUCAAUAGUGAAAGACGGUUUUGCUGUCACUUAUAGAUGGAUCCGCGCCGCAUUAGCUAGUUGGUAAGGUAACGGCUUACCAAGGCAACGAUGCGUAGCCGACCUGAGAGGGUGAUCGACCACACUGGAACUGAGACACGGUCCAGACUCCUACGGGAGGCAGCAGUAGGGAAUCUUCCGCAAUGGGCGAAAGCCUGACGGAGCAACGCCGCGUGAGUGAUGAAGGUCUUCGGAUCGUAAAACUCUGUUAUUAGGGAAGAACAAAUGUGUAAGUAACUAUGCACGUCUUGACGGUACCUAAUCAGAAAGCCACGGCUAACUACGU
Molecule: ribosomal RNA, 496 nt
Filed under: uncultured bacterium
Lineage: Bacteria
Description: partial 16S ribosomal RNA
Rfam family: Bacterial small subunit ribosomal RNA
Source: RNAcentral